GACGAACGCUGGCGGCGUGCUUAACACAUGCAAGUCGAACGGAAAGGCCCUGCUUUUGUGGGGUGCUCGAGUGGCGAACGGGUGAGUAACACGUGAGUAACCUGCCCUUGACUUUGGGAUAACUUCAGGAAACUGGGGCUAAUACCGGAUAGGAGCUCCUGCUGCAUGGUGGGGGUUGGAAAGUUUCGGCGGUUGGGGAUGGACUCGCGGCUUAUCAGCUUGUUGGUGGGGUAGUGGCUUACCAAGGCUUUGACGGGUAGCCGGCCUGAGAGGGUGACCGGCCACAUUGGGACUGAGAUACGGCCCAGACUCCUACGGGAGGCAGCAGUGGGGAAUAUUGCACAAUGGGCGGAAGCCUGAUGCAGCAACGCCGCGUGCGGGAUGACGGCCUUCGGGUUGUAAACCGCUUUCGCCUGUGACGAAGUGCGAGUGACGGUAAUGGGUAAAGAAGCACCGGCUAACUACGUG
This 468-nucleotide ribosomal RNA is filed under the name uncultured bacterium. RNAcentral's name for it is "partial 16S ribosomal RNA". It matches the Rfam family "Bacterial small subunit ribosomal RNA", at positions 28 to 507 of the family's 1533-position model. The record is from RNAcentral.